UACUACUGAGUGUACACAGACAGUGUCUGAGU
RNAcentral lists this non-coding RNA (32 nucleotides) under Rattus norvegicus (Norway rat). Lineage: Eukaryota; Metazoa; Chordata; Mammalia; Rodentia; Muridae. The record is from RNAcentral.